ACKGCUCAGUAACACGUGGACAACCUACCCUGAGGAGGGGGAUAACCCCGGAAAACUGGGGAUAAUACCCCAUAGAUUAAGGAGGCUGGAAUGCCCCUUAGUUCAAAGGUCCGCCGCCUCAGGAUGGGUCUGCGGCCGAUUAGGUUGUUGUUGGGGUAACGGCCCAACAAGCCUUUGAUCGGUACGGGUUGUGGGAGCAAGAGCCCGGAGAUGGAUUCUGAGACACGAAUCCAGGCCCUACGGGGCGCAGCAGGCGCGAAAACUUUACAAUGCGAGAAAUCGUGAUAAGGGAACCCCGAGUGCCCGUAAAUUCGGGCUGUCCGCCAGCGUAAAAAACUGGUGAAGAAAGAGCCGGGCAAGACCGGUGCCAGCCGCCGCGGUAAUACCGGCGGCUCGAGUGGUGGCCACUAUUACUGGGCUUAAAGCGUCCGUAGCUUGGUUGCUAAGUCUCCUGGGAAAUCCAUCGGCUCAACCGAUGGGCGUUCAGGAGAUACUGGCAACCUAGGGACCGGGAGAGGUGAGAGGUACUCCAGGGGUAGGAGUGAAAUCCUGUAAUCCUUGGGGGACCACCUGUGGCGAAGGCGUCUCACUAGAACGGCUCCGACAGUGAGGGACGAAAGCUGGGGGAGCAAACCGGAUUAGAUACCCGGGUAGUCCCAGCUGUAAACGAUGCGCGUUAGGUGUAUCGGUGACCACGAGUCACCGAGGUGCCGAAGAGAAAUCGUGAAACGUGCCGCCUGGGAAGUACGGUCGCAAGGCUGAAACUUAAAGGAAUUGGCGGGGGAGCAC
This 789-nucleotide ribosomal RNA is filed under the name uncultured Methanomicrobiales archaeon. RNAcentral describes it as "bacterial SSU rRNA". It matches the Rfam family "Archaeal small subunit ribosomal RNA", at positions 85 to 879 of the family's 1478-position model. The record is from RNAcentral. Lineage: Archaea; Methanobacteriati; Methanobacteriota; Methanomicrobia; Methanomicrobiales.